This 66-nucleotide transfer RNA is filed under the name Ceratina okinawana. Its description in RNAcentral is "tRNA-Trp". Lineage: Eukaryota; Metazoa; Arthropoda; Insecta; Hymenoptera; Apidae. The record is from RNAcentral.
AAGAUUUUAAGUUAAAAAAACUAUUAAUCUUCAAAAUUAAUUAUAUAAAUUAAUUUAUAAAUCUUA